This 357-nucleotide long non-coding RNA is filed under the name Homo sapiens (human). RNAcentral's name for it is "non-protein coding lnc-RLN3-1:1". Lineage: Eukaryota; Metazoa; Chordata; Mammalia; Primates; Hominidae. The record is from RNAcentral.
GGUGGCGCGCGCCUGUAGUCCCUGAUACUCAGGAGGCUGAGACAGGAGAAUCGCUUGAACCCGGGAGGCGGAGGUUGCAGUAAGCCCAGAUCUCGCCACUGCACUCCAGCCUGGGGGACAGAGGGAGACUCUGUCUCAAAAAAAAAAAAAAAAAAAAAGAAAAGAAAAGAAAAGAAAGUCCCAGGAGUCUGCCCCCCUCCCCCAAUACUCCUCCACUCCUUCAAUUCUAGCUUCCCUCGUUUCUUUGCUGUGUCACCCUGGGCAAGUCACUUUCCCUCUUUGAGUCUCCUUUUCAUUUCUCUAUUAAAUAGCAAUCAUAGGGCCAGGAGAGGUGGUUUGCACCUGUCAUCCCAGCAU